RNAcentral lists this long non-coding RNA (205 nucleotides) under Marmota monax (woodchuck). The record is from RNAcentral. Lineage: Eukaryota; Metazoa; Chordata; Mammalia; Rodentia; Sciuridae.
AGAGCCUUUUAUGCAGUCUUGUGAAACUGAACAAUUUGAACUUGGCUAGAAAUUACUUCCAGUCAUAUCCAGUGGGUGGUCCAGCUCAGUUUUUCACCAUCUGUUCCCUCAACAUGGAACACAAUCAAAUCAAUAAAAUCCCAUAUGGAAUUUUCUCUAGAGCAAAAGCAUUAAGAAAACUAAAUAUGAAGGUAAACUUUUUGUA